GACGAACGCUGGCGGCGUGCUUAACACAUGCAAGUCGAGCGGUAAGGCCCUUUCGGGGGUACGACGAGCGGCGAACGGGUGAGUAACACGUGGGUGACCUGCCCUCAGCUCUGGGAUAAGCCUGGGAAACCGGGUCUAAUACCGGAUAUGACUCCAUGACGCAUGUUGUGGGGUGGAAAGCCUUGUGCGGCUGAGGAUGGGCCCGCGG
RNAcentral lists this ribosomal RNA (208 nucleotides) under uncultured bacterium. RNAcentral's name for it is "partial 16S ribosomal RNA". It matches the Rfam family "Bacterial small subunit ribosomal RNA", at positions 28 to 236 of the family's 1533-position model. The record is from RNAcentral.